CAUUCAAAGGAAUUGAGACAAGAUCUUCAAUUGGCUUAUCCCGUUCUUCAGCAAGGUUGUCGCGAGUGUCUAAUCCAUCAACCGGGCAAGGGUCGGAUUGUCCCUUCCUCUGAAGGGCUAUAUUAUAGCAAUGUCUUGCCAGGACUUGAUCUCCUCUGACUUCUCUGACCCCCUGGCUAGUAGAAAAUUUCAAUUUCAAAUAGUAGGUUGAUACCACAGCUCGGAAGCCGAAAAAGUCCUGGAAGGGUCGG
RNAcentral lists this long non-coding RNA (251 nucleotides) under Elaeis guineensis (African oil palm). RNAcentral's name for it is "long non-coding RNA (EGUI_LNC050645)". The record is from RNAcentral. Lineage: Eukaryota; Viridiplantae; Streptophyta; Magnoliopsida; Arecales; Arecaceae.